This is a long non-coding RNA of Nerophis ophidion (straightnose pipefish), 3811 nucleotides long. RefSeq lists it as uncharacterized. Lineage: Eukaryota; Metazoa; Chordata; Actinopteri; Syngnathiformes; Syngnathidae. The record is from RefSeq and is a predicted model, not a curated record. The transcript is spliced from 8 exons.
UUACAUUCAUAUUUUGUUGAAGUAUUAUUCAAUAGAUAUAUUUAUAAAGGAUUUUGAAUUGUUGCUAUUUUAAAAAUAUUUAAAAAAAAUCUCACGUACCCCUUGGCAUACCUUCAAGUACCCCCAUUUGAGAACCACUGUGCUAAGGUAGUGCCUUGAAGGUUUUUUGGCGCCCCGUUCUUUUCCAUACGUUCGUGUACACAGAGGCAUUUUAAAAAAAGUCAUAAAUGUUACUCUUAUUAAAACCAAUAAUUUCUGAUACUACAUUUUAAAAAAAUGUAUCGACAUCUCUACUUGUUAUGGCGAUCUGUCCGUGAGAGGUUUGCCUGUGAGCGCCUGCUGAUGACACCGGCCUCAACCUCUCCACAGUGGAGCGCACAGGUGAGCACAAUCAGCCUAAUUGGCAAGCUCUGCUCACAACUAUUUUCCGGUGGUCUUGCAGAGCAGCUGGUGGCAGCAGCACAGCGACACCGCCUGCUGAAUCAUUGGAUUAAAAGGCAUUGGGAAAAGGAAAAGAUCAACGAAGCUACCGGUUUCGGUUGCCGGUUUGGUUUCUCAAGGGUGAAAGAAGGGUCAAGUCAAAGGAACACAAGAACAUCCGAGCAGUGGGCAUUCCAGUGAGAGCAUACAUUGUACAAUUUUGGCACGCUCUAUCCUCCGCAUUUUUCAUCCGAGUCCAACAGUUCUUGUUACGUGUACAGGAGGAAGGUGACGGCAGGUUUAUUUAUAUAUAUUCACAAUAUAUAUAUAAAUAAUAAAUGAGGUUAUGUUACACCAGCAGAGAAGGCCUUGCUGGCUCUGACUGCCCACCACUGGUGUUCUACCAAUCAACGGAAAACGCUUUGUCAAGCUUCACCCACCGAAGAACCCACAGAAACAGAAGCAAUGAUUGGCCUUUAGCCACCAUCCUACAACUGACUGUCUUCCCGCUCGUGCCUCUUGAACACAAGCGUCAAAUAACCCUCAUCGCCGGUAAAAUGUGCAGACCAAAAGAUCGGGACUUUCGCAUCUUGUGACACUGGAGCAACUUAAAUCCGUCAAUUGGACUGAAGAGUGAAGACACACUUCUUCCUCAGGGGUGGGAUGCGGCGCUCCGCCAACCUGAUGGCUUCCCCGCGCCCGGCCUCCACUACCCUUGCCUCACAUUGUUGCCCCGCUAAACGCUGACAAUUGGUGACAAAUGACCCGCAAACUGUGCACCGGUUGCCCCGAGAGACCGCGGCAUGCUGGUGAGAAGGGGGAUCAGGGAGGGAGACGGUCGCCGCAAGGCACAGGUGCCUGGGAUCAGCAUGGAUCCGGCCUCUGACUGGAGCUGACAGCAGCGGAGCAACAGAGUGUGGGAGCCCACUGAGUGCCACCCACAGCUCAAUUAAAUGAUGGAGGGUCACGGAAGAGUGGAGGAGCACUGAAGAGGUCAAUAGGAUGCGAACAAUGGUCUUACCCUGUACAUUUUAUACUUGCAUAAUGUUACGUCUCUAUUUGGUACUGCAAAUUAGGACUUUGUUAUCAUGCUAUUUCAUCUUUAGUCUUGUAAAGUUAUGAUGAUUUUUGUAAUAAAUCAUUUAUUACAAACCAGGCCUCAUAAAAGUGCAGCAUGUUUCAGGUGAUAUUGUAUUAUAAGAAAAAGUGGUAACAUUUUAGUAUGGGGAACAUAUUCACCAUUACUUAUUUGCUUAUUAAAGUAACAAAGACUUAAUUUAGAGUUAUUUGGACACUAGGGGAACAUAUAAGGGUUUGGGUUAAAGGCCUACUGAAACCCACUACCACCGACCACGCAGUCUGGUAGUUUAUAUAUCAAUGAUGAACUCUUAACAUUGCAACACAUGCCAAUACGGCCGGUUUAGUUUACUAAAUCACAAUUUUAAAUUUCCCGCGGAGUUUAUUGAUGAAAAUGUCGCUGAAUGAUGACGCAUGCGCGUGACGUCACGGGCUGUAAGGAAAUAUGACCGCUGCACCACUCGCGGCUAAAAGUCGUCUGCUUUAACCGCAUAAUUACACAGUAUUGUGGACAUCUGUGUUGCUGAAUCUUUUGCAAUUUGUUCAAUUAAUAAUGGAAAAGUCAAAGUAGAAAGAUGGAGUUGGGAAGCUUUAGCCUUUAGCCACACAAACACACGGUGAUUCCUUGUUUAAAAUUCCCGGAAGUGAAACUUUACUAUGGAUCAGAGCAGUCAAGCGAACAUGGAUACCGACCAAAUGUCAACCAGCAGGUUUCGGUGAGAAACUUGUGGUAAAAAGUCGCCUCUUACCGGAGAUCAGCUGAGCUUGCGCCGUCCAUAAAGCUGCCGUCGACUUCCCUGAGACACUGGCCUCAAGACACCCGUGGACACACCCCUCCGACUAUCAGGUACUAUUAAUCUCACUAAAACACUAGCAAUCAAUAGAAGGAUAAGGGAUUUCCCAGAAUGAUCCUACUAAAUGUGUAUAAAAACAUUUGAAUCCGUCCCAAUGCAAUUGCCUUUUUUUUUUUUUUUUCCUAGUCCGUCGCUAUCAAUAUCCUCAAACACAAAUUUUUCAUCCUCGCUCAAAUUAAUGGGGAAAUUGUCGUUUUCUCGGUCCGAAUAGCUCUUGCUGCUGGAGGCUCCUAUUAUAAACAAUGUGAGGAUGUGAGGAGCCCCCACACUUGUGACGUCAUCGUGUGCUACUUCCGGUAAAGGCAGGGCUUUUUUGUCAGCACCAAAAGUUGAGAACUUUAUCGUCGAUGUUCUCUACUAAAUCCUUUCAGCAAAAAUAUGGCAAUAUCGCGAAAUACUCAAGUAUGACACAUAGAAUGGACCUGCUAUCCCUGUUUAAAAAAGAAAAUCUCAUUUCAGUAGGCCUUUAAGGUUAUUAAUAAGCAAUUAUUCUGAGGUUAUUGAGGGAAGACUCUUACUUAAUGGCUUACUGGUUGUAUAAUAAGGCCAUGCAGAAUAAGGCAUUAAUAAUUACUUAAUGACUAAUAAAGAGCCAAUAUGUUACUAAUUUGCAUGUUAAUAAGCAACUAAUUAAGGGUGAAUAUGUUUCCCAUACUAAAGUGUUAACGAAGAAGUAUUACUUUUUGACUUUGCUCUCCUAUUUCUGCAUCAUAAUCAUUGUAAAGUAAAAUGUUACUCUUGUAAAACGAUGCGUUUUUUCCGACAUGCAUUUUGGAUUAUUUUGCAUUCUUUCAAAAUGAAAGCUUUUUGAUUGCAAUAUUCCAACGUUAUUCUCAUAAUAUUGUAUAUAUUAUCUUGGGUAAUAUUAUUUUCACGGCCUUUCUAGUUUCCUUAUUUUUUUAUAUUCUCUUACUUAUUUCCUGUUCAGCGCUCUUUUUUUAAUUUUUAUUUUUAGUUCCACCUCCUGUCAGUUUCCCUUACCGGUCCCUGAUUGGCAACUUAGGCACACAGGUACAUGGUUGCCAAUCAGGCAUCUUAAUAUGCCAGCCCGGCCUGCAGUCAGGGUUAGAAGAUGGCCAAAUGUUAGCAGUGUGUCAAAUGUUGCUAACUGUUUCAUGUUUUUAUUUACUUGCUUAUAUACUUUUAUAUACUUUUGCUUUAUAUACUUGCUAUUGUGUACUUCCCCGUGCAUGUCGCUUUCCGUCUCCUGCAUCGUAUACUAUUGUGUACUUCCCCGAUGCUCAACUUGCAUGUAAGGACAUUCUUACGUGCAUGUCGCUUCCCGUCUCCUGCACCUUGGGGUCACAACUACAGCAGCAAUUUAUUUAUGUUACAUUAUCACAUUUUUCUUGAAAUUGUACAACUACUGUACUUUAAUUGCACAACAUAUUUCUGCUAAUACUAAUACUGUACCAUUUGUUAUGACUUUUUCUUGUAAAAGUUAUGACUUUGCUUUGAAA